This is a small nucleolar RNA of Echeneis naucrates (live sharksucker), 203 nucleotides long. Ensembl annotates it as small nucleolar RNA SNORA53. NCBI's taxonomy places the organism in Eukaryota, Metazoa, Chordata, Actinopteri, Carangiformes, Echeneidae. The record is from Ensembl.
AACACGCUCCUUAGAUCCACCUCUGGAGAUGGCUGUCUUUUAGGCAGUGCACCUCAGCAGCUUUCUGGCUGUACAGUUGGAGGUGCUUGAGUCAUUGGCGUGUGAGAGCAGUCCACCUGUCCCCCAGCCCAUCUGCAUCACUGGCAACCCUGUCUACUACAGACAGGGAGCCCCCAGUGUUGCCAGCCUGGGGGAUGGACACG